This is a long non-coding RNA of Oncorhynchus tshawytscha (Chinook salmon), 767 nucleotides long. NCBI's taxonomy places the organism in Eukaryota, Metazoa, Chordata, Actinopteri, Salmoniformes, Salmonidae. The record is from Ensembl.
GUUGAAUCAUUUAGAUAACACCCUAUAAUAAAACUGUAUUGGAGAGGGGUUGAAUCAUAUCAGAUUAACACCCUAUAUCUACACCCUUUAUCACUCUGCAAGCGGUCAACUAAAUAAACAAAUAUAGAACAUAGAACAAUGUAGUGAGAAACUAAAUAAACAAAUAUAGAACAUAGAACAAUGUAGUGAGAAACUAAAUAAACAAAUAUAGAACAAUCUAGUGAGAAUCUAAAUAAACUAAUAUAGAACAUUCUAGUGCUUUAGGCAGCUGGUACUGGAACUAUCCCAACGUGGAAACCAGUUUAAAAGGAUGCUUUCAAUUAACAAGGGCACAAUCUAUAUUUUUAUCAUAUAGGUCUGAAAACCAGCCAAUUAAAAACAUACAGUCUUCAAGUGCCUCUUUUGACUGUGUCUCUCAUUCAAGCCAAAGGCAAGUUGGUAUGUGUCUCAUCAUACAUAUUAUCAAGAGCAGGACUAAAUAAAUAGUCGUACUACACUGUACUGUCCAUCCAUGGUGUCAAACAUCUUAGCAGCUAAGCCUCUACAGCCAGCUGAAACAUAUAACGUUACAACAUAGCAGCUAAGCCUCUACAGCCAGCUGAAACAUAUAACGUUACAACAUAGCAGCUAAGCCUCUACAGCCAGCUGAAACAUAUAACGUUACAACAUAGCAGGUAAGCCUCUACAGCCAGCUGAAACAUAUAACGUUACAACAUAGCAGGUAAGCCUCUACAGCCAGCUGAAACAUGAAACGUUACAACACAGCA